UCAGGAAAUCGGUUUAAGCAACACCAACAGACACUAUUCUGCCCCACAGUCACAGACUCACUGAGGCUGGACAACACUUCCGAGACCAUCGUGUCCAAUAUUUGACCGAUCACCACCUUGUCGACCAGCCCAGAGCACUGAGGGCCACAUCGAGUUGUUCCUUGAUGUGAUGGGGAAGGAAGCACCUAAGAUGGUUCUUAUAGCCUUGAUCUCCAAGGAUUUCCCAACAUGACUCAGCUCAAUCUUCAAAGAGGUGAAGAAGGUUUGGCAGCAGUUUGCAGUCAGAGGAACAGGCCUGUUGCAGUGCAGAACCAGCAGAGACCAGGAGUCCUGAAAGUCAAUCCCUGUGGUGCUCAUGUUGGACAAGUGCAGUAUGGAGGAACCAGUGAGGCAGCAGCAGACACGAGUGAAUGGAAGAUGCAUCUUCCUGGAGAGCAUGUGCUGUGUUAGUACAGGAGGAGGAGCAGCUGUCCCCCUGCAGUCUGCCUGAAAUUUAAUCCUGUAGGGUUUCUGAAAAAGAGAAGUUUGAAGCUUUUCUUUGAACAAUAACAUCCAGGGACAAGCAGUGAGUGUGAACACACUGCAGCUGCUGGAGUCCAGGAGGAAGCUGAGUGAGACUGGGGUUGUUUGGUUGCAAAGAGCACAGUGAAAUAAUUCACACAACACAUCUUGGAGAGAAGAAGUAUUUUCUUUUUGUCAGAAGAAAAUAAACGGGUGGAGAAAGAGGAUAGGACCCAGUUACAUACCUUUUACCACCACUUGCCACAAACUGCAGAGUUUUGGAGGAGGCCACUGCACACUCCAACAAGUCCCUUGGUGUGGAUGAUCAGAGGGACAGGACUGUGACCAAACUGAGGAAGGUGAAGGCCAGGGAAGCAGCAAUUGCACACACCUUUGAGGAGGGACUCGGUGGCUCAGGACAGGGAGCCUUGGCCUCAUUC
Molecule: long non-coding RNA, 941 nt
Organism: Manacus vitellinus (golden-collared manakin)
Lineage: Eukaryota; Metazoa; Chordata; Aves; Passeriformes; Pipridae
Exons: 5
Source: RefSeq, a predicted model, not a curated record